AAAAAAAAAAAAAAAGCAUUUCUUACAGAGCAAGGGCUUCCUGCCAGCGUAGUCACUUCUAGGGUCUUUGAACUAAAAAGUUCUUUGGAAUAUUUUUUCUUUGCUAUCGGCCUUUUCUUUUUCUAUUUCUUUCUCUUUCGCUUGUCUUUAUCUCCUGGAUACUUGGGUAGUUUCCAAAGAAAGAGUGCUUUAUGGAUUCGAAGGGUGAUUUAUAAGUAAAGAUGGAAAAUGAUUUUUUCCUUCAAGUUCCAUACCAAAAAAAUGAAUAUAGACUUUCAUGGAAGUAACUGAAAAUGCAGAUAAUUUUAAUUCCAUUCCAUUUUUCAGAGUUCUCAGCCGUAAUCCUUUGACAACGGUUGAAGAUUCAUAUCUUUAUAAAUUACCAGCAUUAAGAUAUUUAGACCUGGGAACGACGCAAGUGUCACUUACAACAGUUGAAAGUAUCCUCAUGAUGACCCUUGAAUUGGAGAAACUGAUCUUGCCUAGCCAUAUGGCUUGCUGCCUCUGCCAAUUUAAAAGUAACAUUGAAGUUGUCUGCAAGACAGUCAAGCUGCAUUGUGACAGAUGCCUGAAAAACAGCACACGUUGUGAUAAAGAGACAUCUCUAGGGGAUGUAGAAGGAUCGUUCAUGAAGGUGUUACAAGCCCGGAAGAAGAACACCAGCACCGAGCUGAUGAUUGAACCAGAGAGGCCGUCCUCAGACAAGAGUGGUGUCAGCUUGUCGAGCUUCAUGAAUGAGCAGUUGGACUUUAGUGACGAAAGUGAUGUUAUCAGUGCACUCAAUUACAUCCUGCCGUAUUUCUCAGAGGGAAAUCUAGAAGAUGUAGAAUCAACAUUACUGCCAUUCAUCCAGCUUCUGUUUUCAAAUGUAGCAGAGGCAGACAUCCCACCGGGCCACUUGAAAACCCACACCGGGAACCCUCCUGUUAACCCUGAAUCCGGCACGUCAGGUUAUACAAAUAAAUUGAGGCAACUCCGUUUUCUGGAAAAUUUGUUAGAUGCAGAAAUUCAAGAAAAAAUUGAUGAAGUUAUGAAGAAAGAAAAAACUGCCAUGCUUAUAUAUUCCAACAUUUUAAGUCCAAAACUGAGACGCCAGAUCCUUCGAAAGAAAUUGGAAACCGCCCGAACACAGGCAGAGAGCCUCGAGGAGAUUGAGAGCGUAGACAAAAGGCCGCUGAAGGUGAACAGGGUCCUCAAGGGCCCGAGGGGCAUAAAGAAAAGGCACUUCAGAGCAAUGAGAAGGCAGAGCAUCAGGAGAAAAGAGACCGCCCAGCCAUUUGUAGAGACCACUACCAAAGGAAGCAAGCUCGGGGGGCCCUCCGCCAGGGAACUGGAACAGCUGUGGGUGGUGCAGAGGCCCAGGAAGCGAGUGGCAGACUCCUUGCAAAAAGAGCCUUCAUUCGGAAGGGAACAUAAAGCAGAAGUCUCUUCUUUCCUGAAACAGUACUCGAGGGGCAGGCCUGCUGCCUCUAUCCAUCCAAAAGCCCCAGCAACGGUCAAAAAGACAUCAGAGGACCUGUCGGACACACUUUUUGUUCUGGUAGAUGCCAAUGCGAGAGUCAAGAAUAGGAAGGCUUCUGAGACAAUCUCAUAUCCCAGAAAAAUAGACUCCUUCCAUCCUUCUCACUCUCCUGUGCUUCACAGAACACCUGAGCCCCAAAACAGACAGGCCUUCAGAGACAAAGGCUCAAGCUACAGACUGCUGCUUGCAUUGAGGCCUCUGUCCUCUGCCGUGAGGAGCCUCAUAAACUCCCCUUCACAAGAGGCUUCCUCACCUUCAGGAGAACUGACUCUUCAGGAACAGCCUUCUCCAGAAUCCUUUUCUCCUUCAGAACCUUCUACAGAACACAUUAUCUCAGAAAAAGAUACUCCGCAAGUUGUUUUUGAAGAACUUCCUACUUCAGGAACAACUACUUUGUCGGGACCUAUCCCUGGACCCACUGCCCAGGGGACACUUCCUACAGAAUAUUCUGCCACGACUGCAGACAACGUCAUGCCCACUGGUCAACACACCAGCGCAAUCCAAUGGGAGCACCACAAUGUGGGCACCGACGUGGCCUCUACGCCCACAAGCUUCAUUUCCCCAGGAGUUUCCUCCCCGGGGAGUCAGUUUGAAGCUCAGCUGAACCAGCAGCUUCAGUCCCUCAUCCCCAACAAUGACGUGAGGCGGCUCAUUUCUCAUGUUAUCCGGACGUUGAAGAUGGACUGCUCCGAGCCCCAAGUGCAGCUGGCCUGUGCCAAGCUCAUCUCCAGGACAGGCCUCCUGAUGAAGCUUCUCAGUGAGCAGCAAGAAGCCAAGGCGUCCAAGGCAGAAUGGGAUACGGACCAGUGGAAAACCGAGAACUACAUCAACGAGAACACAGAAGCCCAGGGGGAACAGAAGGAGUCGAGUGAGCUCACAAAAGAUGUUCCAGGAUAUGGGUAUAAUAACAAACUCAUCUUGGCAAUAUCUGUGGCUGUAGUGCUGAUGCUUUUGAUUGUAAUUUUAUGUCUCAUCGAGGUUUAUUCCCGAAGGAGAACAUUACGGGAAGGGAAAGUAGGACGCAGAAGGGGCUUUUUCGGAUUUCUGCUGCGUAAGAGACGCUCAGGAGAAAGCGAGAGCGAGGGGUUUUUCUGGAGAAGGCGGCCACUCUGGCUUCGGGAUACGUACAGACCUCUCAGUGCUACGCGCAAGAAAAACAUGGCAGAGAAGCUGCACGAUAAGGAGUCUUCUGAUGAGGAAGAGAUCUUCCACAAGGGUGCAGGGGAGGUCAGUGAAGCCCCGGCAGAUGUGAUUCUGACCAUAGAAUCGGAUGUGGAAGACCUGGGGGAGGAGACUGACACGGCACCUGAGGGUCCUCCCGAGUGAGCCCCGUCCUGGCUCAGGCCACCUGCAGAGUAUAACCCUCGAUUCUGGGAAUUGCUUUUAAAAUAUUUUUUUUUUGUCCUUUUAAAAUAUACAUUGAUAAGCAAUUCUGGCCAUGUGGUGAGGAAUUAAAAUGGAAACAGCUGAAUUAUUUCUAUGCCAGUCACAAGGGCCACAGGCAAGAAAACGCAGCGCUGAAGCUAGAACCCCUCGUGGUAGCCAGUAUUUCCACAGGAGGAAAUGUGGGCCGAGGAGGAGGAAGGGGAGGAUGAAGCGGGGCUUCUCUCCCUCGUUGCCCCAGUAGCAUCAGUCCCUGGGAACUUGCAAACAUGUCAUUCUCAAGGGGCGUCGAGGGUUCAGUUACGUAACAGCGUGUCCUGGUGCUCUCUCUCUCCUGGUUCCUCAAGUACCAGUUGUUUACAGCAUGUUUACAGGCCCUAACAAGCAAAAAAAAAAAA
Molecule: non-coding RNA, 3303 nt
Organism: Sus scrofa (pig)
Lineage: Eukaryota; Metazoa; Chordata; Mammalia; Artiodactyla; Suidae
Source: RefSeq, a predicted model, not a curated record